This is a non-coding RNA of Hydra vulgaris (swiftwater hydra), 682 nucleotides long. NCBI's taxonomy places the organism in Eukaryota, Metazoa, Cnidaria, Hydrozoa, Anthoathecata, Hydridae. The record is from RefSeq and is a predicted model, not a curated record.
UCAGAUAUUAUAAACUUCCAUUAAUUCCAUUAUAUAAAAUUCAAAACGUUUAUUUCAAGUAAACUAAUAUAUUAAAAAAUGUGUGCAUAUAAAUACUGCUAUAAUUUUUUUGUAUAAAUGUAUGUAUUUGUAUGUGAAGAUAUUUGUAUAAGAAGUAACUUCUAUUUUGUGUGAGAUCUUCAAUAAUGUCUGUCAGAACUGAGCUUAACGGUCAGUUCAAAGAAGACGAUAUAUUUUUUUCAUCUAUUUCUUCGUGUGUCAUUUUAUUUUUUCAGUCCUACGUUUUUCAACUUAGUAAAAUGUUCAAACAGGUUGGUUAUAAAAACAGCAAAACAGGUGAGGUGGAUUGUACAAUGCGUCAAUUUCCUUUGCCUAGCUAACAUUGUGCAAGGAUGUUUAGUACCUUUCUUUAUUUGUUGAAAACUUCUGCAAAGAAAAAGAUUUUGAUUGCUUGUGGAAAGAUUUAAAUCAGUGAUUAUGAUCUAUAUUUGUACUAGUUUCACAUGAUACCAUUAGUGGAAGAUUUGCUAUUUCAGUACCAUUUUUACGCACAUUAACACAAAUAAAACACUCACAUUUCCCACCUAGUACAAUUUUAGUAUUAAGAUCUAAAAGUAAUAAGAAGUAAUUUUUUUAGUGUAAAUACAAUAUUGUUUAUAAGCACAACAAUAAUAAUGCAAAA